This 878-nucleotide ribosomal RNA is filed under the name uncultured bacterium. Its description in RNAcentral is "bacterial SSU rRNA". It matches the Rfam family "Bacterial small subunit ribosomal RNA", at positions 51 to 919 of the family's 1533-position model. The record is from RNAcentral.
ACACAUGCAAGUCGAGGGGAAACGACAUCGAAAGCUUGCUUUUGAUGGGCGUCGACCGGCGCACGGGUGAGUAACGCGUAUCCAACCUGCCCACCACUUGGGGAUAACCUUGCGAAAGUAAGACUAAUACCCAAUGAUAUCUCUAGAAGGCAUCUGAAAGAGAUUAAAGAUUUAUCGGUGAUGGAUGGGAAUGCGUCUGAUUAGCUUGUUGGCGGGGUAACGGCCCACCAAGGCGACGAUCAGUAGGGGUUCUGAGAGGAAGGUCCCCCACAUUGGAACUGAGACACGGUCCAAACUCCUACGGGAGGCAGCAGUGAGGAAUAUUGGUCAAUGGACGAGAGUCUGAACCAGCCAAGUAGCGUGCAGGAUGACGGCCCUAUGGGUUGUAAACUGCUUUUAUAAGGGAAUAAAGUGAGUCUCGUGAGGCUUUUUGCAUGUACCUUAUGAAUAAGGACCGGCUAAUUCCGUGCCAGCAGCCGCGGUAAUACGGAAGGUCCGGGCGUUAUCCGGAUUUAUUGGGUUUAAAGGGAGCGUAGGCCGGAGAUUAAGCGUGUUGUGAAAUGUAGACGCUCAACGUCUGCACUGCAGCGCGAACUGGUUUCCUUGAGUACGCACAAAGUGGGCGGAAUUCGUGGUGUAGCGGUGAAAUGCUUAGAUAUCACGAAGAACUCCGAUUGCGAAGGCAGCUCACUGGAGCGCAACUGACGCUGAAGCUCGAAAGUGCGGGUAUCGAACAGGAUUAGAUACCCUGGUAGUCCGCACGGUAAACGAUGGAUGCCCGCUGUUGGUCUGAAUAGGUCAGCGGCCAAGCGAAAGCAUUAAGCAUCCCACCUGGGGAGUACGCCGGCAACGGUGAAACUCAAAGGAAUUGACGGGGG